CCCAAGGGUUGGGCUGUUCGCCCAUUAAAGCGGUACGCGAGCUGGGUUCAGAACGUCGUGAGACAGUUCGGUCCCUAUCCGUCGUGGGCGUAGGAAAUUUGAGAGGAGCUGUCCUUAGUACGAGAGGACCGGGAUGGACAUACCUCUGGUGUACCAGUUGUCGUGCCAACGGCAUAGCUGGGUAGCUAUGUGUGGACGGGAUAAGUGCUGAAAGCAUCUAAGCAUGAAGCCCCCCUCAAGAUGAGAUUUCCCAACUUCGGUUAUAAGAUCCCUCAAAGAUGAUGAGGUUAAUAGGUUCGAGGUGGAAGCAUGGUGACAUGUGGAGCUGACGAAUACUAAUCGAUCGAAGACUUAAUCAA
This 359-nucleotide ribosomal RNA is filed under the name Staphylococcus aureus. Its description in RNAcentral is "partial 23S ribosomal RNA". It matches the Rfam family "Bacterial large subunit ribosomal RNA", at positions 2564 to 2925 of the family's 2925-position model. Lineage: Bacteria; Bacillati; Bacillota; Bacilli; Caryophanales; Staphylococcaceae. The record is from RNAcentral.